AAGAAAGCAAGUACACAGGCCAUAUAAAGAGACCCGUGUAAAGUUUCCUGGCCUGGGUAACCAUUUGUCACACCAAAAAUUGCAAGUGUUAAGAGCUCCAAAGACUUACAUGGCCUGCCUGUCUAAUGAAGCAUAGGCCAUAUAAAAUGUUCCAGCUCAAACUUCAAAUUGACUCUAACUCUUUUUUGCAUGACUCAAACAAACUUUUAAGGCCUUUAGGACUCUGAAUUGAAUGUUUUUAUGCCAGAUAUAAAUACAUGAAGUCAAGAACAAGUCAAGGAUCUCAUUUUUUAUGUUCUUACUUUGUUUUUAUGCAAUUUGGAGAGAUUUGCACAAGAUUCAAAUGAGAGAUUUAUAGUCGAAGUUCUAAAAGUUCAAAGCUACUGAAUCAUCUAUCAGGGUUUCUUCGUUUUAUUUCUUCAGAUGUUUUGUUAUUGUUAUUAAUUUCAUGUUAA
RNAcentral lists this unclassified non-coding RNA (455 nucleotides) under Hevea brasiliensis (rubber tree). The record is from RNAcentral. Lineage: Eukaryota; Viridiplantae; Streptophyta; Magnoliopsida; Malpighiales; Euphorbiaceae.